UAUAAUGGGCUUUCUAUUGCAAUCCUAAAUAGCAAGUGUCAACCUGAUUUUUCAAGUUCUCAGGAACCUUUCAGCAGUCAUGUGGAUUCUAGGGAAAGCAGUGCUGCCUGGCUGACUGAAACAUCAUGUUUUAUUCUCACUCUUUGUUUUCUUCCUUUUAGGUCUGCUGUGCCUCUGUUAAUGGCAGGGCAGCCCAAGCAGGAAGAGCGGACCUUUGAUGGCUGGCAAAGUUGCAGCACUGGGAGCAUUUUGAAAUUUAAGGAUAUAAAAUAUUUUGGGGACCAGUGCUGUGGCAUGGCAGAUAAAGCCACCAC
Molecule: long non-coding RNA, 314 nt
Organism: Oryctolagus cuniculus (rabbit)
Lineage: Eukaryota; Metazoa; Chordata; Mammalia; Lagomorpha; Leporidae
Source: Ensembl